GAUGAACGCUGGCGGCGUGCUUAACACAUGCAAGUCGAACGGAAAGGCCCUGCUUUUGUGGGGUGCUCGAGUGGCGAACGGGUGAGUAACACGUGUGUAACCUGCCCUUGACUUUAGGAUAACUUCAGGAAACUGGGGCUAAUACCGGAUCGUAGCUCCUGCUGCAUGGUGGGGGUUGGAAAGUUUCGGCGGUUGGGGAUGGACUCGCGGCUUAUCAGCUUGUUGGUGGGGUAGUGGCUUACCAAGGCUUUGACGGGUAGCCGGCCUGGGAGGGUGACCGGCCACAUUGGGACUGAGAUACGGACCAGACUCGUACGGGAGGCAGAAGUGGGGAGUAUUGCACAAUGGGCGGAAGCCUGAUGCAGCAACGCCGCGUGCGGGAUGACGGCCUUCGGGUGGUAAACCGAUUUCGCCUGUGACGAAGCGUGAGUGACGGUAAUGGGUAAAGAAGCACCGGCUAACUACGUG
Molecule: ribosomal RNA, 468 nt
Filed under: uncultured bacterium
Lineage: Bacteria
Description: partial 16S ribosomal RNA
Rfam family: Bacterial small subunit ribosomal RNA
Source: RNAcentral